UCUCCGUUGGUGAACCAGCGGAGGGAUCAUUACAGGAUUCGCAAGAACUCCCGUAACCACUGUGAACCUUACCUUCUGUUGCCUCGGCGGAGCCUACCCUGUCGCUACCCUAUAAGGUGGCUACCCUGUAGCGCCCCGCCGGUGGAUUUUCAAACUCUUGUUAUUUAUUGUAAUCUGAGAGUCUUAUUUUAAAUAAGUCAAAACUUUCAACAACGGAUCUCUUGGUUCUGGCAUCGAUGAGAACGCAGC
RNAcentral lists this unclassified non-coding RNA (249 nucleotides) under uncultured fungus. RNAcentral's name for it is "sequence contains ITS1, 5.8S rRNA gene". The stretch from base 202 to 249 matches the Rfam family "5.8S ribosomal RNA", at positions 1 to 49 of the family's 154-position model. The record is from RNAcentral. Lineage: Eukaryota; Fungi.